RNAcentral lists this ribosomal RNA (503 nucleotides) under uncultured bacterium. Its description in RNAcentral is "partial 16S ribosomal RNA". It matches the Rfam family "Bacterial small subunit ribosomal RNA", at positions 30 to 523 of the family's 1533-position model. The record is from RNAcentral.
ACUGAACGCUGGCGGCAGGCUUAACACAUGCAAGUCGAGCGGGGUGAUGGUGCUUGCACUAUCACUUAGCGGCGGACGGGUGAGUAAUGCUUAGGAAUCUGCCUAUUAGUGGGGGACAACAUCUCGAAAGGGAUGCUAAUACCGCAUACGUCCUACGGGAGAAAGCAGGGGAUCACUUGUGACCUUGCGCUAAUAGAUGAGCCUAAGUCGGAUUAGCUAGUUGGUGGGGUAAAGGCCUACCAAGGCGACGAUCUGUAGCGGGUCUGAGAGGAUGAGCCGCCACACUGGGAAUGAGACACGGCCCAGACUCCUACGGGAGGGAGCAGUGGGGAAUAUUGGACAAUGGGGGGAUUCCUUAUCCAGCCAUGGAGCGUGUGUGAAGAAGGCCUUAUGGGUGUAAAGCACUUUAAGCGAGGAGGAGGCUCUUUUGGUUAAUACCCAAGAUGAGUGGACGUUACUCGCAGAAUAAGCACCGGCUAACUCUGUGCCAGCCGCCGCCGUAA